Molecule: ribosomal RNA, 378 nt
Filed under: Triticum aestivum (bread wheat)
Lineage: Eukaryota; Viridiplantae; Streptophyta; Magnoliopsida; Poales; Poaceae
Description: partial small subunit ribosomal RNA
Source: RNAcentral
AUGGUGAUCCUAGGAGGACCCUCACUCAAUUCAUCGUCGUCGGCGGUGGGACCCGAGCGGGUCACCUCAUCCACGAAAGCUGACCGCCGCUCUCAUGGUGGCCGCGGCCCCUCCCCUUUAUUUAUAGCUGGCCCCCUCUUCGCUUUAUUCUCGCCUCCACUCGAUCCAACAUACAGAGCACCUCCACUUCCCCACUGCUCCUCCUCCUCUUCCUCGCUCUCGCCACAGCAGAGCAGAGAGCACUCACUCACUGUGGACUAUCCAUCCACGCCCCUACUCCAGUCCGAGGAUAUUCUCGAGUUCAGCUGCGCGUGCAUGGAGAGAUUGCUGUCGCUGCUGCCGAUCGAUCGAUUCCAGCAGGAUCACUCCUCCGAUUAA